Molecule: ribosomal RNA, 441 nt
Filed under: uncultured bacterium
Lineage: Bacteria
Description: partial 16S ribosomal RNA
Rfam family: Bacterial small subunit ribosomal RNA
Source: RNAcentral
CCUACGGGAGGCAGCAGUGGGGGAUAUUGCACAAUGGGGGCAACCCUGAUCCAGCAACGCCGCGUGGGUGAAGGAGCGUUUCGGCUCGUAAAGCCCUAUCCGCAGGGACGAAGGAGGACGGUACCUGACUACGAUGCGCCGGCUAACUACGUGCCAGCACCCGCGGUAAUACGUAGGGGGCAAGCGUGAUCCGGAUUUACUGGGUGUAACGGGGGCGCAGACGGGAGCGCAAGCCAGGUGUGAAAACCCGGGGCUCAACCUCGGGACUGCUCUUGGAACUGUGCGGCUGGAGUGCAGGAGGGGCAGGCGGAAUUCCUGGUGUAGCGGUGAAAUGCGUAGAUAUCAGGAGGAACACCGGUGGCGAAGGCGGCCUGCUGGACUGCGACUGACGUUGAGGCCCGAAAGCGUGGGGAGCAAACAGGAUUAGAUACCCCAGUAGUC